CAGUCUGCAACUCGACUGCACGAAGCUGGAAUCGCUAGUAAUCGCGGAUCAGCACGCCGCGGUGAAUACGUUCCCGGGCCCUGUACACACCGCCCGUCACACCAUGGAAGUCUGCAAUGCCCGAAGCCGGUGGCCUAACCACUUAUGUGGAAGGAGCCGUCUAAGGCAGGGCAGAUGACUGGGGUGAAGUCGUAACAAGGUAGC
Molecule: ribosomal RNA, 204 nt
Filed under: uncultured bacterium
Lineage: Bacteria
Description: partial 16S ribosomal RNA
Rfam family: Bacterial small subunit ribosomal RNA
Source: RNAcentral